AUAAUGAUCUCUACGCUAGAGAUCAUGAGAAGAAUACUUUUUUCUUUCUUCCUAAAACCCAUGCACCAAAUUUCUAUGCUAGAGAUAUAAAAAUACAUGUCCAACUCUUGGAUAAAGUGAAGAGAAAAGUCCAUAUCCAAACUAGGACAAAAGAUGAGAGAGAAGGCCCUAACAACUAACCUUUGGUUGUUGAUAAGAA
Molecule: long non-coding RNA, 199 nt
Filed under: Elaeis guineensis (African oil palm)
Lineage: Eukaryota; Viridiplantae; Streptophyta; Magnoliopsida; Arecales; Arecaceae
Description: long non-coding RNA (EGUI_LNC075937)
Source: RNAcentral